UGGGCAGAAGCUAGUUUGGCCGAGCGUCUAGCUGUUAACUAGAAGGUCAUGGGAUCGAAGCCCAUCUGUCCAG
RNAcentral lists this transfer RNA (73 nucleotides) under Rhinopomastus cyanomelas (common scimitar-bill). RNAcentral describes it as "tRNA-Asn". It matches the Rfam family "tRNA". From Rfam's summary of the family: Transfer RNA (tRNA) molecules are approximately 80 nucleotides in length. Their secondary structure includes four short double-helical elements and three loops (D, anti-codon, and T loops). Lineage: Eukaryota; Metazoa; Chordata; Aves; Bucerotiformes; Rhinopomastidae. RNAcentral also lists the same sequence under 2 other names. The record is from RNAcentral.